Molecule: long non-coding RNA, 1082 nt
Filed under: Bos mutus (wild yak)
Lineage: Eukaryota; Metazoa; Chordata; Mammalia; Artiodactyla; Bovidae
Description: lncRNA (ENSBMUG00000021105.1)
Source: RNAcentral
AUGUGCUCUUUCUCUCUAGGCCUGGUUGCAGGAUGUGUGUGUGUGUGUGUGCGCUCACGUGCUCUCUCUAGGCCUGGUUGCAGGCUCUGUGUGUGUGUGUGUGCUCACAUGCUCUCUCCCUCUAGGCCUGCUUGCAGCUGUGUGUGUGUGUGUGUGUACACGCACAUGCUCUCUCUAGGCCUGCUUGCAGCUGCGUGUGUGUGUGUGUGUGUGGGCGUGCACACGUGCUCUCUCUCUAGGCCUGGUUGCAGGAUGUGUGUGUGUGUGUGUGCGCUCACGUGCUCUCUCUAGGCCUGCUUGCAGCUGUGUGUGUGUGUGUGUGUGCGCUCACGUGCUCUCUCUAGGCCUGCUUGCAGCUGCGUGUGUGUGUGUGUGUGUGUACACGCACAUGCUCUCUCUAGGCCUGCUUGCAGCUGCGUGUGUGUGUGUGUGUGUGUACACGCACAUGCUCUCUCUAGGCCUGGUUGUAGGCACUGUGUGUGUGUGUGCUCACAUGCUCUCUCCCUCUAGGCCUGCUUGCAGCUGCGUGUGUGUGUGUGUGUGUGCGCUCACGUGCUCUCUCUAGGCCUGCUUGCAGCUGCGUGUGUGUGUGUGUGUGUGGGCGUGCACACGUGCUCUCUCUAGGCCUGGUUGCAGGCUCUGUUUGUGUGGGUGUGCACACGUGCUCUCUCUAGGCCUGCUUGCAGCUGUGUGGGUGUGUGUAUACACACACAUGUGCUCUUUCUCUCUAGGCCUGGUUGCAGGAUGUGUGUGUGUGUGUGUGCGCUCACGUGCUCUCUCUAGGCCUGCUUGCAGCUGCGUGUGUGUGUGUGUGUGUGUACACGCACAUGCUCUCUCUAGGCCUGGUUGUAGGCACUGUGUGUGUGUGUGCUCACAUGCUCUCUCCCUCUAGGCCUGCUUGCAGCUGUGUGGGUGUGUGUAUACACACACAUGUGCUCUUUCUCUCUAGGCCUGGUUGCAGGAUGUGUGUGUGUGUGUGUGCGCUCACGUGCUCUCUCUAGGCCUGCUUGCAGCUGCGUGUGUGUGUGUGUGUGUGCGCUCACGUGCUCUCUCUAGGCCUGGUUGCAGGCUCUGUGUGUGUG